Molecule: ribosomal RNA, 467 nt
Filed under: uncultured bacterium
Lineage: Bacteria
Description: partial 16S ribosomal RNA
Rfam family: Bacterial small subunit ribosomal RNA
Source: RNAcentral
GACGAACGCUGGCGGCGUGCUUAACACAUGCAAGUCGAACGGAAAGGCCCUGCUUUUGUGGGGUGCUCGAGUGGCGAACGGGUGAGUAACACGUGAGUAACCUGCCCUUGACUUUGGGAUAACUUCAGGAAACUGGGGCUAAUACCGGAUAGGAGCUCCUGCUGCAUGGUGGGGGUUGGAAAGUUUCGGCGGUUGGGGAUGGACUCGCGGCUUAUCAGCUUGUUGGUGGGGUAGUGGCUUACCAAGGCUUUGACGGGUAGCCGGCCUGAGAGGGUGACCGGCCACAUUGGGACUGGGUUACGGCCCAGACUCCUACGGGAGGCAGCAGUGGGGAAUAUUGCACAAUGGGCGGAAGCCUGAUGCAGCAACGCCGCGGGCGGGAUGACGGCCUUCGGGUUGUAAACCGCUUUCGCCUGUGACGAAGCGUGAGUGACGGUAAUGGGUAAAGAAGCACCGGCUAACUACGU